AUUGAACGCUGGCGGCAUGCCUUACACAUGCAAGUCGAACGCGAAAGGGGGGCAACUCCUGAGUAGCGUGGCGCACGGGUGAGUAAUGCAUCGGACCGUGUCCUGUAGCGGGGGAUAACCUAGCGAAAGCUAGGCUAAUACCGCAUACGUCCUACGGGAGAAAGUGGGGGAUCGUAAGACCUCACACUAUAGGAGCGGCCGAUGCCGGAUUAGCUAGUUGGUGGGGUAAAAGCCUACCAAGGCGACGAUCCGUAGCUGGUCUGAGAGGAUGAUCAGCCACACUGGGACUGAGACACGGCCCAGACUCCUACGGGAGGCAGCAGUGGGGAAUUUUGGACAAUGGGGGAAACCCUGAUCCAGCCAUGCCGCGUGAGUGAAGAAGGCCUUCGGGUUGUAAAGCUCUUUCGGCCGGGACGAAAUCGCACGCGUGAAUAUCGCGUGUGGAUGACGGUACCGGAAGAAGAAGGACCGGCUAACUACGUGCCAGCAGCCGCAGUAA
Molecule: ribosomal RNA, 499 nt
Filed under: uncultured bacterium
Lineage: Bacteria
Description: partial 16S ribosomal RNA
Rfam family: Bacterial small subunit ribosomal RNA
Source: RNAcentral